This 256-nucleotide ribosomal RNA is filed under the name uncultured bacterium. RNAcentral describes it as "partial 16S ribosomal RNA". It matches the Rfam family "Bacterial small subunit ribosomal RNA", at positions 524 to 776 of the family's 1533-position model. The record is from RNAcentral.
UACGUAGGGUGCAAGCGUUGUCCGGAAUUAUUGGGCGUAAAGAGCUCGUAGGCGGUUCGUCGCGUCGGCUGUGAAAACCUGAGGCUCAACCUCAGGCCUGCAGUCGAUACGGGCGGACUUGAGUACUGCAGGGGAGACUGGAAUUCCUGGGUGUAGCGGUGAAAUGCGCAGAUAUCAGGAGGAACACCGAUGGCGAAGGCAGGUCUCUGGGCAUUAACUGACGCUGAGGAGCGAAAAGCAUGGGGGAGCGAACAGG